Molecule: ribosomal RNA, 253 nt
Filed under: uncultured bacterium
Lineage: Bacteria
Description: partial 16S ribosomal RNA
Rfam family: Bacterial small subunit ribosomal RNA
Source: RNAcentral
UACGGAGGAUGCAAGCGUUAUCCGGAUUUAUUGGGUUUAAAGGGUGCGUAGGCGGAUCAAUAAGUCAGUGGUGAAAACCUGCAGCUUAACUGUAGAUGUGCCGUUGAUACUGUUGGUCUUGAGUAUGGUCAAGGUAGGCGGAAUGUGUAAUGUAGCGGUGAAAUGCUUAGAUAUUACACAGAACACCGAUUGCGAAGGCAGCUUGCUGGGCCAUUACUGACGCUGAUGCACGAAAGCGUGGGGAUCGAACAGG